Molecule: long non-coding RNA, 1500 nt
Organism: Neoarius graeffei (lesser salmon catfish)
Lineage: Eukaryota; Metazoa; Chordata; Actinopteri; Siluriformes; Ariidae
Exons: 2
Source: RefSeq, a predicted model, not a curated record
GACGCGGGGGGGAGCAUGGUGAGGGCGGGCGUGUUUCUUUUCAAAAUAUGGCUUGCAGGAACCGUUAUUCCAAAUUCUCGUACCCCACCUUUAAUGACAUGCAUCCCAAAGCCAGAAAAAUCUCUGUUUUUCUGGACAAGUCCUACAGUAAAAGAGAGACUGUGCCAGGUACAGAAGCAAAUGGGGAGGCAGACUCUGAAUAGAGGUAGAUACACGCUGGAACAGCACUUUCCACAUGCUGGAACUCCUUUAUAAUGAGACAGAACCAGUGGGAGCAGCCCUGGCAUCUUUAAAGACCAACAUCUCCCCAGUUAAUGCUCAUGAACAUGAGGCUGUUGGAGAUACUUUACAUAUUCUGGCUCCAAUCCAUCAGGCUACUGUAGAACUAUCUGAGGAGAAAAGGGUAUCUGCUUCAAAUACCUGUCUACAAUGGAGUCACUUAGUGCGAUGACAACGACAACCAUGCUCGACCCGAGGUUUAAAGCCACUGGGUUCCUACGCCAAAAUAAGAUGCAUGAAGCAGUAAAGCAACUGAAAGUAGAGUGGGCCAAUAGAAUUACAAUUGCUGAAUCUGCUAGAUCGAGUGAGCCCUUAAUCCAGCAGCCAGCCUCCUCUGAAACAGCUGGGAUGCAAACAGCUGUAUUGUCUUGUAGCAUCUGCUGGACCCCACAGUGAAUCAGAGCAGAAGAAGCUCAAAUGCCACUGCUGAUGCAACAAUAGAAGGGGAACGUUACUUGGACGAGGCCAACCUUCCAAAAAUUGUAGAUCCACUUGUAUAUUGGAGUCCACAAAAACAUGUUUACCACUACCAGCUGGCACUUCAGUUUUUAUGUUCACCAGUAUCCUCAGUACCAUGUGAAAGGGUGUUCUCCGAGGCUGGGGAGGGAAUUUCUAAGAAAUGAACCGCCUCAAUCCAAAUACAGUAAAACAAUUACAUUUAUUUAUUUUAAGAACAUGAUCAAUAAAGGUUCCCCUAAAUAUGACUAUGUAUCCUGCAUGGAGCACUCACAGUCCAUCACACACGCAAUAAACACAAACAUAAAGAGGGUAAUGUUUAUGGACACCUUUUUAUUGUGCAGAUACAAUUAUUCUGAGCAUAAAUUCACACAAAAAGUGUGUGAGAGACAGAGAGAGAAUAAAAAGCAUAGAGACCAAAUAAAAGGCACAUAAAACACUUAUGUAAUAAGUUAUUUUCAAACAGAACAUUGUGUAAAGUCCAUGUAAAUAAUAAUGGGCCGUGUCAGAACACUGCUGUGAUGUAGAUAUUGAAACAUGCUGUACACGUCUCUGAGCAGUAGGUAUCGCUAGUGAACUCGAGUGAGAUUUCAAGUCAUGAAUCUUCAUCUGCCACGCCCCUUUAUACUCCAUACACACUUCAGAGCCUCAGUUAGCCAUCACUGAUCACUAUACUGCAAAUCAUUAACAUUUAUUACAGAGAAAAUGGCAAAUAAACUACUGAAUAUUAAAGAUUUAUUAUGGACUUAAAUUUGUUAGAAAUGA